RNAcentral lists this long non-coding RNA (212 nucleotides) under Lathyrus oleraceus (garden pea). RNAcentral describes it as "Pisum sativum (pea) long non-coding RNA (PSAT_LNC019981)". Lineage: Eukaryota; Viridiplantae; Streptophyta; Magnoliopsida; Fabales; Fabaceae. The record is from RNAcentral.
AAAGACCUUAAUAGAUUUUGGGUUCGGGAGGUACAUUAUACAAAGGGAAGGUAUUAGCACCCUUUGUAUCCAUGGUUAUCCAUGGGCUCUUAAUUGCUGGAUCACUUAUAUUUUGUCUGAAAAAGUGUUCGUGAAUUGCUUAAAAAUGUUUUGAAAAGAGAGUUUAACUUUGUAAUGAUUCUCGUAUGAAUGUAUACAAAGUAUUUAUCUCA